UCAUAGUUUGCAGCUUUAUUGCAAAUCCUGUCAAACCAUCUUAAACAUUUUCUUACCAAAGUAAUAAAAUAUUUUUAUGUCCAUGUAUACAUUAUAAUCAGACACAGACGUGCGAACUAAAGCCUAACUAAGCACAACCAAUGGCAACCACAUUUAUUAUUAAUACCAAUAAGAAACCAUGAAUAAGCUAGCUAGGAAUCUAUCUUUUUGCCGAAAUUAAGUAAAUUAAUAUGGUGGCCAACUGCUAGAUAAAUAAUUCCAAGAUCCGUUCAAUUACUGAGUCAAGUUAAUUGAGGACGGCAGCUGGAUCGGUUGGAUUAUCCCCCCACAUCUCUAUCCUGAUCAUCUCAAUGAAGCAAAUCUGAGUUAAUACCUGCAAGUCAG
Molecule: long non-coding RNA, 384 nt
Filed under: Prunus persica (peach)
Lineage: Eukaryota; Viridiplantae; Streptophyta; Magnoliopsida; Rosales; Rosaceae
Description: long non-coding RNA (PPER_LNC002710)
Source: RNAcentral